Molecule: ribosomal RNA, 253 nt
Filed under: uncultured bacterium
Lineage: Bacteria
Description: partial 16S ribosomal RNA
Rfam family: Bacterial small subunit ribosomal RNA
Source: RNAcentral
UACGGAGGUGGCAAGCGUUGCUCGGAAUCACUGGGCGUAAAGCGCACGUAGGCGGCUUUUUAAGUCAGGGGUGAAAUCCUGGAGCUCAACUCCAGAACUGCCUUUGAUACUGAGAAGCUUGAGUCCGGGAGAGGUGAGUGGAACUGCGAGUGUAGAGGUGAAAUUCGUAGAUAUUCGCAAGAACACCAGUGGCGAAGGCGGCUCACUGGCCCGGUACUGACGCUGAGGUGCGAAAGCGUGGGGAGCAAACAGG